Molecule: ribosomal RNA, 468 nt
Filed under: uncultured bacterium
Lineage: Bacteria
Description: partial 16S ribosomal RNA
Rfam family: Bacterial small subunit ribosomal RNA
Source: RNAcentral
GACGAACGCUGGCGGCGUGCUUAACACAUGCAAGUCGAACGGAAAGGCCCUGCUUUUGUGGGUUGCUCGAGUGGCGAACGGGUGAGUAACACGUGAGUAACCUGCCCUUGUCUUUGGGAUAACUUCAGGAAACUGGGGCUCAUACCGGAUAUGAUCUCCUGCUGCAUGUUGGGGGUUGGAAAGUUUCGGCCGUUGUGGAUGGACUCGCGGCUUAUCAGCUUGUUUGUGUGGUAGUUGCUUACCAAGGCUUUGACGGGUAGCCCGCCUGAGAGGGUUACCGGGCACAUGGGGACUGAGAUACGGAGCAGAAUCGUACGGGAGGCAACAGGGGGAAGUAUGGCAGAAUGAGGGGAAGCGUGAUACAGAAACGCCGCGAGCGGGAUAACGGGCUACGAGUUGUAAACAGAUGUGGAAGGAGACGAAGAGUGAGUGACGGUAAUGGGUAAAGAAGCAACGGCUAACUACGUG